This 495-nucleotide ribosomal RNA is filed under the name uncultured bacterium. Its description in RNAcentral is "bacterial SSU rRNA". It matches the Rfam family "Bacterial small subunit ribosomal RNA", at positions 11 to 525 of the family's 1533-position model. The record is from RNAcentral.
GUUUGAUCAUGGCUCAGAACGAACGCUGGCGGCAGGCCUCAAACAUGCAAGUCUAGGGGGUGCAGCAAUGCAUCACCGGCGGACGGGUGCGUAACGCGUGGGAAUAUACCUUUUGGUUCGGAACAACUGCGGGAAACUGCAGCUAAUACCGAAUGUGCCCUAACGGGGAAAGAUUUAUCGCCAAAGGAUUAGCCCGCGUAGGAUUAGCUAGUUGGUGAGGUAAUGGCUCACCAAGGCUCCGAUCCUUAGCUGUUCUGAGAGGAAGAUCAGCCACACUGGGACUGAGACACGGCCCAGACUCCUACGGGAGGCAGCAGUUGGGAAUCUUGGACAAUGGGGGAAACCCUGAUCCAGCCAUGCCGCGUGAGCGAAGAAGGUUUUCGGAUCGUAAAGCUCUGUUGUAAGGGAAGAACACGUACGGGAGUAACUGCCCGUACCUUGACGGUACCUUAUUAGAAAGCCACGGCUAACUACGUGCCAGCAGCCGCGGUAAUG